Molecule: transfer RNA, 74 nt
Filed under: Parcubacteria group bacterium
Lineage: Bacteria
Description: tRNA-Gly
Rfam family: tRNA
About the family: Transfer RNA (tRNA) molecules are approximately 80 nucleotides in length. Their secondary structure includes four short double-helical elements and three loops (D, anti-codon, and T loops). Further hydrogen bonds mediate the characteristic L-shaped molecular structure. tRNAs have two regions of fundamental functional importance: the anti-codon, which is responsible for specific mRNA codon recognition, and the 3' end, to which the tRNAs corresponding amino acid is attached (by aminoacyl-tRNA synthetases). tRNAs cope with the degeneracy of the genetic code in two manners: having more than one tRNA (with a specific anti-codon) for a particular amino acid; and 'wobble' base-pairing, i.e. permitting non-standard base-pairing at the 3rd anti-codon position.
Source: RNAcentral
GCGAGUGUAGUACAGUGGCAGUACGCUUGCCUUCCAAGCAGGAUACACGGGUUCGAUUCCCGUCACUCGCUCCA